This 429-nucleotide ribosomal RNA is filed under the name Ornithodoros sp. RNAcentral's name for it is "partial large subunit ribosomal RNA". The stretch from base 303 to 429 matches the Rfam family "Bacterial large subunit ribosomal RNA", at positions 2473 to 2600 of the family's 2925-position model. Lineage: Eukaryota; Metazoa; Arthropoda; Arachnida; Ixodida; Argasidae. The record is from RNAcentral.
GGUAUUUUGACUAUACGAAGGUAUUGAAAUAAGGCUUUAAUUGGGUGCUAAGAGAAUGGUUGGACAAGGAUUGACUUUCUUUAUAUUUAAAAUUGAAGUUGAUUUAAAAAUGAAAAAGUUUUUAUAGAUUUUUAGGACAAGAAGACCCUAUGAAUUUUUUUUAAAAGGUUAUUUAUAAUUUUUAAUAAAUUAGGUAAAAUAAUAAUUUAAGUUGAUUGGGGCGAUUUUUAAAGAAUAUUUAUCUUUAUAAGUUGAUGGAAUUAGAACCAGAAAUUCUGGUUUUUUGAAUAAAAUACUCUAGGGAUAACAGCGUUAUUAUUUUGGAUAGUUCAUAUAGAUAAAAUAGUUUGCGACCUCGAUGUUGGAUUAAGAUACCUUUAUGGUGUAGUAGUUAUAAAAGGAAGUUUGCUCAACUUUUAAAAUCUUACU